AUUGAACGCUGGCGGCAGGCCUAACACAUGCAGGUCGAGCGGCAGCGACUUAACUGAACCUUCGGGGAACGUUAAGGGCGGCGAGCGGCGGACGGGUGAGUAAUGCCUGGGAAUAUGCCCUGAUGUGGGGGAUAACUAUUGGAAACGAUAGCUAAUACCGCAUAAUCUCUUCGGAGCAAAGAGGGGGACCUUCGGGCCUCUCGCGUCAGGAUUAGCCCAGGUGGGAUUAGCUUGUUGGUGAGGUAAUGGCUCACCAAGGCAACGAUCCCUAGCUGGUCUGAGAGGAUGAUCAGCCACACUGGAACUGAGACACGGUCCAGACUCCUACGGGAGGCAGCAGUGGGGAAUAUUGCACGAUGGGGGAAACCCUGAUGCAGCCAUGCCGCGUGUGUGAAGAAGGCCUUCGGGUUGUAAAGCACUUUCAGUAGGGAGGAAGGUAGUGUAGUUAACACCUGCAUUAUUUGACGUUACCUACAGAAGAAGCACCGGCUAACUCCGUGCCAGCAGCCGCGGUAAUACGGAGGGUGCGAGCGUUAAUCGGAAUUACUGGGCGUAAAGCGCAUGCAGGCGGCCUGUUAAGUCAGAUGUGAAAGCCCGGGGCUUAACCUCGGAAUUGCAUUUGAAACUGGCAGGCUAGAGUCUUGUAGAGGGGGGUAGAAUUUCAGGUGUAGCGGUGAAAUGCGUAGAGAUCUGAAGGAAUACCAGUGGCGAAGGCGGCCCCCUGGACAAAGACUGACGCUCAGAUGCGAAAGCGUGGGGAGCAAACAGG
RNAcentral lists this ribosomal RNA (769 nucleotides) under uncultured bacterium. Its description in RNAcentral is "bacterial SSU rRNA". It matches the Rfam family "Bacterial small subunit ribosomal RNA", at positions 28 to 776 of the family's 1533-position model. The record is from RNAcentral.